Molecule: ribosomal RNA, 465 nt
Filed under: uncultured bacterium
Lineage: Bacteria
Description: partial 16S ribosomal RNA
Rfam family: Bacterial small subunit ribosomal RNA
Source: RNAcentral
GACGAACGCUGGCGGCGUGCUUAACACAUGCAAGUCGAACGGAAAGUCCCUGCUUGCAGGCUGCUCGAGUGGCGAACGGGUGAGUAACACGUGGAUGAUCUGCCCUGCACUUCGGGAUAAGCCUGGGAAACUGGGUCUAAUACCGGAUAGGAGCCUUUUUUAGUUUGAUGGUUGGAAAGUUUUUUCGGUGUAGGAUGUGCUCGCGUGCUAUCAGCUUGUUGGUGGGGUAAUGUUCUACCAACGCCGCAACGGGUAGCCGACCUGAGAGGGGGGCCGGCCUCAUCGACAAUGGGACUGGGUCCAGACCCAUACGGGGAGCAGAAGUCGCGAGUAUUGAACAAUGGGGACAAGCCUGAUGCUGCCACGCCGCGGCCGGGAUGACGGACUACGGGUUAUAAGCUUAUUUAGCUAGGAACGAAGCUUUUUGUGACGGUACCUAGAUAAGAAGCACCGGCUAACUACGUG